UGGGAACGCGAAGAACCUUACCUAGACUUGACAUCUCCUGAAUUAACCCUUAAUCGGGGAAGCCCUUCGGAGCAGGAAGACAGGUGGUGCAUGGUUGUCGUCAGCUCGUGUCGUGAGAUGUUGGGUUAAGUCCCGCAACGAGCGUAACCCUUAUUGUUAGUUGCUACCAUUUAGUUGAGCACUCUAGCGAGACUGCCCGGGUUAACCGGGAGGAAGGUGGGGAUGACGUCAAAUCAUCAUGCCCCCGUUAUGUCUAGGGCUACACACGUGCUACAAUGGCUGGUACAGAGAGAUGCUAAACCGUGAGGUGGAGCCAAACUUUAAAACCCAGUCUCAGUUCGGAUUGUAGGCUGAAACUCGCCUACAUGAAGCUGGAGUUGCUAGUAAUCGCGAAUCAGAAUGUCGCGGUGAAUACGUUCCCGGG
This 424-nucleotide ribosomal RNA is filed under the name uncultured bacterium. Its description in RNAcentral is "bacterial SSU rRNA". It matches the Rfam family "Bacterial small subunit ribosomal RNA", at positions 954 to 1378 of the family's 1533-position model. The record is from RNAcentral.